Molecule: small RNA, 750 nt
Filed under: Drosophila ananassae
Lineage: Eukaryota; Metazoa; Arthropoda; Insecta; Diptera; Drosophilidae
Description: GF27717
Source: RNAcentral
AACAAACUUUGGAGGAAAAGGCGUCAUGUAAAAAGUGUCAAGUGACAAUUAUAGUUCUAUCAUCGGCUUAUCAAACUCGAUAACAAAUCACAAAAUAAUUCUAUACACUCAAUAUCUUUGUAAAAUAAUUAACUUAUGGGACCCCCCCAAAUUUUCACAUAAAUUUUAUAACUUUUUUAUGGAUGGGCCACACCCUAGUCGAUAUCUUAAAAGGAAAUUAUUUUAUGGCCCCAGAAGAGUUGACUUUUCGUACUCCAUAUAAAUCCGGUGGAAGAAGACGAUUUAAAUAAGUUGAACUCGGCGGUCGAAGUUUAAAGUAGUUCUGUUCGGCUCGAAGUCUCGCUAACGUCUGACUGCUGCUCUACGGGCCCUCGAAUGUUUUGGCUGGAGUGGAAUGAGUAUUGGCAACUGUUAUCUCCAUGCCGAUAACUAGUAUUUAACGCUUUUCGGCAGUCCUUAUCGCACCUCCAUAUGGCGGCGCUCUCAGGAGACAUUCGGCUCAAAAUGGGGAAUCUAAAACCACACACAAAUAUGAUUAAGGGCUUAUCUGGCGAUGAGCUGCAUGUUGAGUUCCUGACCCUGCCAAUGAGUCAUGUGAUUGGUCAUGGGCCCGAUGGGAUCCGAUCGGAGCAAAAUAUUGGCCAUGUAUUGAAAUCUGAAGUACCUGUCUGAAAUAGCUUGUAAAAUAGGGGGAGUACCUUUCUGUGAAGUCAAGUCAUUGAUACAUUCCACAUACUAUAUGGAAAGACA